AACGAACGCUGGCGGCGUGCCUAACACAUGCAAGUCGAACGAGAAAAGGGCUUCGUCUCCGCUUAAAGUGUCGCACGGGUGAGUAACACGUGGGUAAGCUGCCUCUAAUAUUGGGAUAACUCGACUACAGAUGAGCUAAUACCGUAUAAGAUCACAUAUCCCGCGGCAACAUGCAUUAAAGAUAGCCUCUUCUUGCAAGCUUUCACGUAGAGAUCGCCCUGCGCACCCUUAGCUGGUUGGUAGGGUAACGGCCUACCAACGCAAAGAUGGUUAGCUGGUCUGAGGGGAUGAUCCGCCCAAAUGGGACCGAGAAACGGUCCAGGCCCCUACGGGAGGGAGCAGUGGGGAAUAUUGCGGAAUGGGCGAAAGCUUGGCGCAGCAACGCCGCGUGAGUGAUGAAGGGCUUCGGGUCGUAAAGCUUCGUCGGGAGGGACGAAUGAUACUGAGGUUAAAAGCCUCGGGAGGUGACGGUACCUUCAAAGGAAGCACCGGCUAACUCUGUG
This 503-nucleotide ribosomal RNA is filed under the name uncultured bacterium. RNAcentral describes it as "partial 16S ribosomal RNA". It matches the Rfam family "Bacterial small subunit ribosomal RNA", at positions 29 to 507 of the family's 1533-position model. The record is from RNAcentral.